RNAcentral lists this long non-coding RNA (1009 nucleotides) under Helianthus annuus (common sunflower). The record is from RNAcentral. Lineage: Eukaryota; Viridiplantae; Streptophyta; Magnoliopsida; Asterales; Asteraceae.
GGUUUUUAAUUUUAUUACUCUGAUGUUAAAACAGAUUCAAGAUCUUCAUUGUUAUAAACCUUCUAGAAGGAAAGGUUGAGGACGGUUCCAAGAGGUUAGAGCAGUUGUAGUGUUAUAACCCCACUACCGCCAUAAAAGCAAAAGAGAAAUAGAAAGAACGAGAGCCAACUCUUCAAGAAUUAGCGACUUUAAGUUCGAAAACUUGUCAACCGAAAUUGCAAAAAACAAUCAUUCUGGCUCAGUUACAACCAUUGUUAUGGGGCAAUUGCUUUGGUAAAGAGGAGAUAAUGGAAAACUCUCCAACAGAAGAUGAGUCAUCCACUACCCUGUAAGUCCUAUGUUUGAUUAACUUCUCAAUUGAAGUUUUCAAUUUCUCCCAUUAUUGAUGGACUGGUGUUGUAUGUUAUGGAUGAGUGUGGAGGAGAAAUUUAGGAUUGUGAGGAGUGUAGGUGAAGAGUGUAAGUAGGAAGAUGAACUCCUGAAUCUUGUAAUCAAGAAGCCCCAACCCACUUGCUAUGAAGCCUUCAAACAUUCUUGCAGAAUGCAUAUUGCACGGGUAGUGAUGGAUCUUCCUCCUUAUAAAAUUAACCCUAAGAGAAUGAAAGGUUUGCAUCAAUCUGUUGAAAUGGGAGAGGAGUUUAGGCGAUUAUUAGCAAAAUCUCAACAAGAAUUUCUAGAAAGUGCGAUGGGAAUUAGAGGAAAAGGACAAUUUAAUGUGGUGGAGCUAAUUCGCAAGUCUUUAUUUCCUGCAACUGCAUAUGAUCUUUGUAUCAAGCUGAAGGAAAAAAAGAAUUCUUGCAAAACCGACUCAUAAUGCUACUAUUGGGACCUCCUUGCUAAUCUUGAAUACUCAUUGCUUGUGGCCUGAAGUCAUAAGUGAUUUAGUCAUAACUGUACACGGUAAUGUUCAUGUCCUGCUCAAGCUCAAAAUUUUAGGGAUUCACUUGCAGAAGCAAAAUCUGAUAUUGUAGUGAAGGUGUUCUUUUUAUCUUUUUUUUUUUUUUUUUUU